Molecule: unclassified non-coding RNA, 348 nt
Filed under: uncultured bacterium
Lineage: Bacteria
Description: contains 16S-23S intergenic spacer region
Source: RNAcentral
AAUCCGAGAAUUUCACCUCUGACAACGGAAUACGAAUGCCCCCAACUGUCCCUAUUAAUCAUUACCCUGGCGUGCAAACCAACAAAAUAGACCGCCUGGGUCGUAUCUUAUUAUUCCAUGCUAAUGCAUUCAAGGCCUAAGCCUGCUUUGAACACUCUAAUUUGUUCACAGUAAAUGUCAGGGACCACACACGCGACAACCUAAUGCCACGUGCGCUCACCCCGAAGAUGGCAGGACGCGAAAUCGGUACAGACCCCUUCCGGGGCCGACCAUCCGCUCCCGCCAGAAAUCCAACUACGAGCUUUUUAACUGCAGCAACAUUAGUAUUCGCUAUUGGAGCUGGAAUUA